Molecule: long non-coding RNA, 1121 nt
Filed under: Salmo trutta (river trout)
Lineage: Eukaryota; Metazoa; Chordata; Actinopteri; Salmoniformes; Salmonidae
Description: lncRNA (ENSSTUG00000003153.1)
Source: RNAcentral
UCGAGUUUCAAAGUUUACUUUCCACGUGCACAGGUUACAAUAGGUGUAAAACAGUACAUGACAUUCUUACCUUGAGGUACUGUGUAAUCUGUUUGUCCUAGAGCUGUGUUUCUCAAACUCUCCUGGGGACCCCAAGGGGUGCACGUUUAGUUAUUUUUCCCAAGCAGAACACAGCUGAUUCAACUAAUCAUAAAGUUUUGAUUAUUUGAAACAGCUGUGUAGUGCUGGGGCAAAAACCAAACCGUGCACGCCUUGGGGUCCCGAGGACUGAGUUUGGGAAACGCUGUCCUAGAUGUACUGUAAAAAGGACCCUCCCUGUGCUGAGUGAAUAUUUGCCUGACAGUCUAUUGACCUGUCUUCCAGCAGAAAUGAAGGUGCUGACUUUGCUCCAGCCUCAUGGGGCCCAGGACCAGCAGGCUGCAUCAGGGGGGCUCUACUCUAACUACCUUGGCCAGAGCAUGGAGAACAGAUGCCUGAUCCAUGCAUCUGUGCUGCCUCAGGCCUUCUCUGGACCAGUAUCCCAGCCCUCCUCCUGCCCCUCUCUCCAGCCCUCCAGGCUCACCUCCACCACCUCCUCCCUCCUCUCCACUACCACCUCCUCCCUCCUCUCCACUACCACCUCCUCCCUCCUCUCCACUACCACCUCCUCCCUCACUUCUCCCUGUCUUACCUCCCCCCUCCUCACCUCUCCACUCCUCAGCACAGAGAACAAAUUCCUAAAGAAGGAUUCACUACUCUUCCCUCAUUCCCUCUCUCUCUCCUCUCCCUCCCCCCUCCCCCCUCUGUUCUCUUCAACCCUGGCACCCUCUACUCGUGUCCUGCCUCCUACCUGUUCUCUCCCCCCUCCGGUUCUGAAUGUAGAAGAGCGGAUGGGGGGAGAAGGAAGAAUUAGGCAGCCUGCUUCUGAGGACGCGCUGUCUUACUAUGAAGAGAUGACUGUGGAUUCUGACCAGGACAGCCUCAUGACUGAGGCAACCACAGAGAUGCCUGUCUUGGACAUGGUAUUGGAUGAAGAGAAGUUGGACCAAACCAUGCCAUUCGGGGAACAGGAGUUUGGUGAGAUGGAGAGGGGGAAAGAUGAACUGGAGGAAGAACUGAAAGACAAAAAGGUGAGGGAGUAG